CACAAGUGCUAGGCUUGGCACAGGUACAGGGGAGAGGUUACGGAGUGGGUGUGUGCAGGGCCUGGUGGGAAUGGGGAGACCCGUGGACAGAGCUUGUUAGAGUGUCCUAGAGCCAGGGGGAACUCCAGGCAGGGCAAAUUGGGCCCUGGAUGUUGAGAAGCUGGGUAACAAGUACUGAGAGAACAAAAGCUUGUGGGUCAGCAGGCCCCACAAAGAUGUGACUGCAGACAGGAUCGGCCCUGGGAGAGACCGAGGCUCCAGGUGACUCCUAUAGCAAGGCAGUGAGGGGGCGGGUCUGGGGCUCCAGUUCAGGAAUACAUAGUCAGCUGCAGCCACUGGGGAGAGGAGGGUGGAGAGUGAGGACAGGGAACCCCAAGAGCACCAGCCCCUUUGCCCUCACCCAGGGACGGCUGGCAAAAUAGGAGGAAGGGGACUGCAGCUCAGAGCUGGUAUGAAGGGCUGAGGGGUGGGGUCCUCCCAGGCACCCAUACCCCAAUAUGGGGGUCCUUACCUCCUGGAUGUUCACCUGGAUUUGUCCAGUGCCAUCUUUGUCAAGAGAUUUGAAGGCACCUGGAGGAGGAGAUGCAGAGGUUUGGCGGCAGGGAAGGAAGGAGACUGGUUUUUGGCAUAAUAACAUUACACAAAUACAUGGGAUGACAAUCAUAGCAGCUGGCACUUCACUGAGUAUUUACUGUGUGCCAAGCAUGGGGUAAAGUGCUUUCCAGGUAUUGGCUGAUUUAAUCCAACUCUGUGAGAUAAGUGUCAUUUUAAAAUGAGGCACAGGCUGGGCGUGGUGGCUCACACCUAUAAUCCCAACACUUUGGAAGGCCAAGAUGGGAGGAUCACUUGAGCCGCCCAGGAGUUCGAGACCAACCUGGGCAACAGAGACCUCAUCUCUGCUUUUUAAAAAAACUAAAAAUUAAAAACAGGAAAAAAAGAAAUGAGGCAGGAAGGGAGGGGCCAUGCCCCAGGUCACAUAGCAAGAAAGUGAAGAAAUCAGGAUUGGAAUCCAAUCUGUUACCCUCCUCAAUAAUGGCCUCUGUGUACUGAUAUCACCUCUGCCCAGCCCCAGCCUCCUACUGACAUCUAUGCUCCAUCCUCUCCAGUUCUAAGCCUAACAGGCUACUAGAGGGAGGCUCUGCACACUCUACUUCCUGCCCCUAGAGUCUUACAGGUAGGUCCCCACGCCUGCCCUGAAACUUGACUCCAUGUUCCCCACCCACAGGGAAUCUAGACAUGAUGACUACACUAUCUCCGCUCAGUUACCACCACCCUCAGGUGUCCAUACCCACAGCGUCCUGCACACCCUGGCUGCCUUUCUUUCUUUUUUUUUUUGAGACAGAGUCCCACUCUGUUGCCCAGGCUGGAGUGCAGUGGCACGAUCUUGGCUCACUGCAACCUUUGCCUCCCAGGUUCAAGUGAUUCUCCUGCCUCAGCCUCCUGAGUAGCUGGGACUACAGGCGUGCACCACCACGCCUGGCUAAUUUUUUUGUAUUUUUAGUAGAGACGGGGUUUCACUAUGUUGGCCAGGCUGGUCUCAAACUCCUGACAUCAGGUGAUCCGCCCACCUCGGCCUCCCAAAGUGCUGGGAUUACAGGAGUGAGCCACCAUGCCCAGCCCUUUUUUUUUUUUUUUUAGACGGUGUCUCUGUGGCCCAGGCUGGAGUCCAGUGGCAAGAUCAUAGCUCACUGCAGCCUCACCCUCCCGGGCUCAAGUGAUUCUCCUACCUCAGCCUCCCGAGCAACUGAGACCACAGGCAUGUGCCACCAUGCCCGGCUAUGUCUAUAUACAUAUAUUUUUUUUUUUUUGUAGAGAUGGAGUCCUACUACAUUGCCCAGGCUGGUCUCAAACUCCUGGACUCAAAUGAUCCUCCCGACUAUCAGCCUUCUUGCUGGUAGAUCCAGUGGCUAUUUCCUGGCCCCUCUUAUGUGACUUGUGGCAUCAACCUUGUCUGUCCACUCCCUUCACCUCCCUGCUAUCUCACAUACCUGCUUCUUUUCCUCUGUUACUUUUCAUGCAUUGUGGGCUCUCUGGAGGCCAAGGGAUCUUUUUUUCUUUUUUUUUUUUUGAGAUGGAAUCUCGCUCUUGUCACCCAGGUUGGAGGCUGGAGCUGGAGUGCAGUGGCGCGAUCUCGGCUCACUGCAAAGCUCCGCCUCCCAGGUUCACGCCAUUCUCCUG
RNAcentral lists this long non-coding RNA (2178 nucleotides) under Homo sapiens (human). RNAcentral's name for it is "HSALNT0397681". The record is from RNAcentral. Lineage: Eukaryota; Metazoa; Chordata; Mammalia; Primates; Hominidae.